Molecule: small RNA, 140 nt
Filed under: Streptomyces oceani
Lineage: Bacteria; Bacillati; Actinomycetota; Actinomycetes; Kitasatosporales; Streptomycetaceae
Description: c-di-AMP sequence
Rfam family: c-di-AMP riboswitch aptamer (ydaO/yuaA leader)
About the family: This family represents a conserved RNA structure found upstream of the ydaO and yuaA genes in Bacillus subtilis and related genes in other bacteria.
Source: RNAcentral
CGUACGGCCGUGCCCACACCGGGAACGGCCAGGGGCAGGCAACACGCGCCCCAGGGGCGAAGCCGUACGUCCGCGUACGGCCGGGCACUCAUCCGGCCCGAGCCCGACAGCUCACUCCGUAGGCGUCGGUGAGAAGGAAG